UACAGAGGUCUCAAGCGUUGUUCGGAUUCAUUGGGCGUAAAGGGUGCGUAGGCGGCGCGGUAAGUCGGGUGUGAAAUCUUGGAGCUUAACUCCGAAACUGCAUUCGAUACUGCCGUGCUUGAGGACUGGAGAGGAGACUGGAAUUUACGGUGUAGCGGUGAAAUGCGUAGAUAUCGUAAGGAAGACCAGUGGCGAAGGCGGGUCUCUGGACAGUUCCUGACGCUGAAGCACGAAGGCCAGGGGAGCAAGCGGG
Molecule: ribosomal RNA, 253 nt
Filed under: uncultured bacterium
Lineage: Bacteria
Description: partial 16S ribosomal RNA
Rfam family: Bacterial small subunit ribosomal RNA
Source: RNAcentral